RNAcentral lists this ribosomal RNA (497 nucleotides) under uncultured bacterium. Its description in RNAcentral is "partial 16S ribosomal RNA". It matches the Rfam family "Bacterial small subunit ribosomal RNA", at positions 28 to 507 of the family's 1533-position model. The record is from RNAcentral.
GAUGAACGCUGGCGGCGUGCCUAGUACAUGCAAGUCGAGCGAACGGACGAGAAGCUUGCUUCUCUGAUGUUAGCGGCGGACGGGUGAGUAACACGUGGAUAACCUACCUAUAAGACUGGGAUAACUUCGGGAAACCGGAGCUAAUACCGGAUAAUAUUUUGAACCGCAUGGUUCAAACGUGAAAGACGGUCUUGCUGUCACUUAUAGAUGGAUCCGCGCUGCAUUAGCUAGUUGGUAAGGUAACGGCUUACCAAGGCAACGAUGCAUAGCCGACCUGAGAGGGUGAUCGGCCACACUGGAACUGAGACACGGUCCAGACUCCUACGGGAGGCAGCAGUAGGGAAUCUUCCGCAAUGGGCGAAAGCCUGACGGAGCAACGCCGCGUGAGUGAUGAAGGUCUUCGGAUCGUAAAACUCUGUUAUUAGGGAAGAACAUAUGUGUAAGUAACUGUGCACAUCUUGACGGUACCUAAUCAGAAAGCCACGGCUAACUACGUG